CUUGGCUGAAGUUAGCCCUUGGCAGUCCUAUGAUGAGUAGGAUUUUGGCAGACAUAAACCCGGGAGAGGUGAAGAGGUGAUUGCAGUCAGAGAGGAUGUUGCGAGCAAAGGUGCGAACUUUGGAAAAGGCAGGAGUCCAGAAUGGCUGAGUGACCUGCCCCCCCACCCCAGCACUGUUCUCAUCAUCGCUGUCAUCAGCGAUGAUAAAAGCUGGUCUUUUUUACACUUGAUAGUUCCCAAAGCACUUACUGAAAGUCACCUCAGUUCUGUGAGGUUGGACCUCUUGUCAAUUCUGUAGAUGAAGAAACACAAAGUCCUCGUUCUUUUGUCUGGACGUGAAAAACAAACAGAAAGCCAUCAGGAAGCUAUUUGGGCAGCAGUGUGGACCGCUCCUCCUCGGGGGGCACCCUUAUCUCUGCUCCCAGCUGCUGAAAAACAAACCCUCACCAGAGGGGUAAGGGUGAACUACGGACAAAUGAGCUGUCACUUUGGGGGACUGGGUUGCACUCAAACUUGGAAAAGUCACAAAACAAACCCCAGGGUUUGAGCGGAGCCAUGGGGAAAGUGUUCCACUCGGAGCGGGAUCUGUGAUACUGUGAUUUACAAUAAGAAGUAUAUUCGACCCCAUUCCUGGAACAGAGCUACGAAACCCUUGGAAUUUCCUGAAGGAAAGCGGAAAGAGGUGUCUUCUGUUAUGUUAAUGAGAGCACGUGCAAAUGAUGUCCCAUUGGCAGAUUGGAAGUUGCCUGUCCGCACCGUCCAGGCUGGGGAGGCUGGGAAGGAGGGAGUUGAGUAUAUAGCCUGAUGGUCAAAGGUCCAGGCUCUGAGGUCAGACUACGUGGGGUUGAAUUCUGGCUCUGCAAGUUACCAGCUGGUUGACAUUAAGCAAGUUAUUCAACGUCUCUGAGCUUCAGGUAAUUAAAGUCCUUACUGGAUCGGAUUGUGUGGGCCUGACUCGAAAGAAGUCAUGAGAGGCGCCUGGGUGGCUCAGUUGUUAAGCAUCUGUCUUUGGCUCAGGUCAUGAUCCCAGGAUCCUGGGAUCGACGAGGCCCACAUCGGGCUCCCUGCUUGGCGGGAGGCCUGCUUCUCCCUCUCCCACUCCCCCUGCUUGUGUUUCCUCUCUCGCUGUGUCUCUCUCUGUCAAAUAAAUAAAUAACAUCUUUAAAAAAAAAAAGAAAGAAAGAAGUCGUGAAAGAAUGCAGCGCAUUUCCAGGUACAAAUUACGUGCUUCACUAGUGAUAGGCACUCAUGCAAUAAACAUUAUUGUGUUUUCUAGAUCACAGCGUAUCUGUAGAGCAGAGACAAAUGAUUUAACUGCUACUCGGUGAAACAGCUCUUCCUUCUUCUGGUAAAUCCCUGCCCCACCCUUUCCUCCCAGGGUCCCUUCAGUGACUCACCCCUCAGGUAUUCUCUCUUCUCUCUCCCAGACAAAUGUCCUGAGGGAGGGAUUGAGGAAGUCAGUUGUGUCCCUGCCUGUGUAGUCUUGGGGGGAGAGAACUUUAGUCCUGGGUUUCUAGCUUCUCAGCUGAAAGGUACUUGAGUUGUGUGCCCGACACAGAGGUGCUCCCCGUUGUUGACUGGAGGAUGGGCUUUGGGCCUGAGGCAGCUACUUUUGGUGCCCCGGGCCACAUGUCCUUGGCCACUUUUGAUUUGAGCUGUGGUUGCUCGGAGGGUCCCAUAACCCUGCCAGUGCCUCAUGCAACAGGCCUGUCUCUGCCUCAGUUAACAGAAGUGUGGUGAGAAGAGUGGAGGUAAUGCUGAGGGCAGUUCUUAUGCAAGAAAGGACACAGGCCAGUGCCCCAGCCUCCUGUCCUUUGAGGGUCAGUUCUGAGGUGCGUUCUACAGUUCCACACAGGGUCUCUGGCUGGACUUGAUGAGGGAACAGAAGGCUAGCUGAGGACAAAGUGGAAGCUGACACCCUACACCCCCCCCCCCCUUGGGAUAUAUGUGACAUUCCUCAGGCACUCCGGGCUGCCCUAAAGGAAAAACAAAUGGUUAACUGAUAGAGAUUACAGUCCUGCAGGACAGGAGUCUCCCUCAGUUUACAAAUGUCCUAGUGAUUUAAAAGAAAGAAGCUUUCUUAUCAAUAGCCUAACUUCCAGAGACCCAUAACUCAGUUUCCUAAAGCCCUAGAAUCACCCUCCCCUCCAUAAAAUUAAGGGAUGCUGAGGCAGAAGGAAAUGUAAAUAAAAUUGUAUUUCUUUUAAACCUAAAGCCCAUUGACAAGGACGUGUGAUAGGAGGAAUGUAACAUUCCUCCAGGAAACUCCCAGCUGUCUUCAUGUUAGUGCCUUGGCUUGACAAUAACCAGGCCUCUAGUAUCCUGAGAGUCUUUAGCAUAUGACAGUCCUUCUGGACACCCCCUUUUUCCUCACCUCCCGAACUCCUGAGUAUAUUAUCAGCCACCCCUCACAACCCCAGGGGCAGCAGCUCUUUCUGCCCACGGGUCCUCUCCCUGUGGUUUUUUUUUUUUUUUUAAGAUUUUAUUUAUUGAGAGAGAGAAUGAGAUAGAGCAUGAGGGGGAGAGGGUCAGAGGGAGAAGCAGGCUCCCUGCCGAGCAGGGAGCCCAAUGUGGGACUCGAUCCUGGGACUCCAGGAUCAUGAUCUGAGCCGAAGGCAGCUGCCCAACCAACUGAGCCACCCAGGCGCCCUCCCUGUGCUUUAAUAAACAUUUUGCACCAAACACAUCUCAAGAAUUCUUUCUUGGUUGUCAGCUCCGGACCUCACCCCACCGAACCUCUCACGUAUUCUAAAACUUCAUCAGACUAAGCUCCGUAUCAGUAGCUAGUUCAAUAUGCACUUGUCGAUUGGCCUUUUCUCCUUCCCUGACUCACAUUGCCCCCCCCCCCCCCCCUCCUGGCUCCUGGGACUACCCUGCAGGAAGUCUCCAGUUCUGGUCUCAGGCACUGUUUUCAGGAGAACACAAUCCAAGCCCU
This is a long non-coding RNA of Mirounga angustirostris (Northern elephant seal), 2935 nucleotides long. RefSeq lists it as uncharacterized. The record is from RefSeq and is a predicted model, not a curated record. The transcript has 3 exons. NCBI's taxonomy places the organism in Eukaryota, Metazoa, Chordata, Mammalia, Carnivora, Phocidae.